This 497-nucleotide ribosomal RNA is filed under the name uncultured bacterium. Its description in RNAcentral is "partial 16S ribosomal RNA". It matches the Rfam family "Bacterial small subunit ribosomal RNA", at positions 28 to 507 of the family's 1533-position model. The record is from RNAcentral.
GAUGAACGCUGGCGGCGUGCCUAAUACAUGCAAGUCGAGCGAACAGACGAGGAGCUUGCUCCUCUGACGUUAGCGGCGGACGGGUGAGUAACACGUGGAUAACCUACCUAUAAGACUGGGUUAACUUCGGGAAACCGAAGCUAAUACCGGAUAAUAUAUUGAACCGCAUGGUUCAAUAGUGAAAGACGGUUUUGCUGUCACUUAUAGAUGGAUCCGCGCCGCAUUAGCUAGUUGGUAAGGUAACGGCUUACCAAGGCAACGAUGCGUAGCCGACCUGAGAGGGUGAUCAGCCACACUGGAACUGAGACACGGUCCAGACUCCUACGGGAGGCAGCAGUAGGGAAUCUUCCGCAAUGGGCGAAAGCCUGACGGAGCAACGCCGCGUGAGUGAUGAAGGUCUUCGGAUCGUAAAACUCUGUUAUUAGGGAAGAACAAAUGUGUAAGUAACUAUGCACGUCUUGACGGUACCUAAUCAGAAAGCCACGGCUAACUACGUG